CAAUCGGCUUUAUUCAAAGCCCACCAAUUUAAUGUUAAUCUCAUUC
Molecule: non-coding RNA, 46 nt
Organism: Myotis lucifugus (little brown bat)
Lineage: Eukaryota; Metazoa; Chordata; Mammalia; Chiroptera; Vespertilionidae
Source: Rfam